Molecule: transfer RNA, 76 nt
Filed under: Acidibacillus sp.
Lineage: Bacteria; Bacillati; Bacillota; Bacilli; Caryophanales; Alicyclobacillaceae
Also listed under: 2 other names
Description: tRNA-His
Rfam family: tRNA
About the family: Transfer RNA (tRNA) molecules are approximately 80 nucleotides in length.
Source: RNAcentral
GUGGGCGUGGCGAAGUGGUCAACGCACCGGAUUGUGGCUCCGGCACUCGUGGGUUCGAACCCCAUCGCUCACCCCA